GUGCCAGCAGCCGCGGUAAUACGAGAGGUGCGAGCGUUAUUCGGAAUUAUUGGGCGUAAAGGGUGCGCAGGCGGUUUAUUAAGUCAACUGUUUAAUUCCUCGGCCUAACUGAGGUUCAGCGGUAGAAACUGAUAAGCUUGAGUAUGAGAGAGAGGAGUGGAAUUCUCGGAGUAGCGGUAAAAUGCGUAGAUCUCGAGAGGAACACCGAUGGCGAAGGCAGCUCCUUGGCUCAUUACUGACGCUCAUGCACGAAAGCGUGGGGAGCAAACAGGAUUAGAUACCCUGGUAGUCCACGCUGUAAACGAUGAUCACUGGACGUCGGACUUACUUUGUAGGUUCGGUGUCGAAGCUAACGCGUUAAGUGAUCCGCCUGGGGAGUACGGUCGCAAGAUUAAAACUUAAAUGAAUUGGCGG
Molecule: ribosomal RNA, 414 nt
Filed under: uncultured bacterium
Lineage: Bacteria
Description: bacterial SSU rRNA
Rfam family: Bacterial small subunit ribosomal RNA
Source: RNAcentral